This 430-nucleotide ribosomal RNA is filed under the name Acidobacteriota bacterium. RNAcentral's name for it is "Acidobacteria bacterium partial 16S ribosomal RNA". It matches the Rfam family "Bacterial small subunit ribosomal RNA", at positions 355 to 776 of the family's 1533-position model. Lineage: Bacteria; Pseudomonadati; Acidobacteriota. The record is from RNAcentral.
UGGGGAAUAUUGGACAAUGGGCGGAAGCCUGAUCCAGCCAUGCCGCGUGUGUGAAGAAGGCCUUUUGGUUGUAAAGCACUUUAAGCGAGGAGGAGGCUACUUGGAUUAAUACUCUAGGAUAGUGGACGGUACUCGCAGAAUAAGCACCGGCUAACUCUGUGCCAGCAGCCGCGGUAAUACAGAGGGUGCGAGCGUUAAUCGGAUUUACUGGGCGUAAAGCGUGCGUAGGCGGCUUCUUAAGUCGGAUGUGAAAUCCCUGAGCUUAACUUAGGAAUUGCAUUCGAUACUGGGAAGCUAGAGUAUGGGAGAGGAUGGUAGAAUUCCAGGUGUAGCGGUGAAAUGCGUAGAGAUCUGGAGGAAUACCGAUGGCGAAGGCAGCCAUCUGGCCUAAUACUGACGCUGAGGUACGAAAGCAUGGGGAGCAAACAGG